RNAcentral lists this transfer RNA (72 nucleotides) under Cotesia glomerata. RNAcentral's name for it is "tRNA-His". It matches the Rfam family "tRNA". Rfam says of the family: Transfer RNA (tRNA) molecules are approximately 80 nucleotides in length. Their secondary structure includes four short double-helical elements and three loops (D, anti-codon, and T loops). The record is from RNAcentral. RNAcentral also lists the same sequence under 4 other names. Lineage: Eukaryota; Metazoa; Arthropoda; Insecta; Hymenoptera; Braconidae.
GCUGUGAUCGUCCAGCGGUUAGGACUCUACGUUGUGGCCGUAGCAACCCAGGUUCGAAUCCUGGUCACAGCA